UACGGGGGGGGCAAGCGUUGUUCGGAAUUACUGGGCGUAAAGGGCGCGUAGGCGGCUCUUCAAGUCGGGCGUGAAAUCUCCGGGCUUAACCUGGAAGGGUCGUUCGAUACUGUCGAGCUAGAGUGUGGAAGAGGCUACUGGAAUUCCGUGUGUAGCGGUGAAAUGCGUAGAUAUACGGAGGAACACCAGCGGCGAAGGCGGCAUCCUGGACCAAUUCUGACGCUGAGGAGCGAAAGCCAGGGGAGCAAACGGG
RNAcentral lists this ribosomal RNA (253 nucleotides) under uncultured prokaryote. RNAcentral's name for it is "partial 16S ribosomal RNA". It matches the Rfam family "Bacterial small subunit ribosomal RNA", at positions 524 to 776 of the family's 1533-position model. The record is from RNAcentral.